GACGAACGCUGGCGGCGUGCUUAACACAUGCAAGUCGAACGGAAAGGCCCUGCUUUUGUGGGGUGCUCGAGUGGCGAACGGGUGAGUAACACGUGAGUAACCUGCCCUUGACUUUGGGAUAACUUCAGGAAACUGGGGCUAAAACCGGAUAGGAGCUCCUGCUGCAUGGUGGGGGUUGGAAAGUUUCGGCGGUUGGGGAUGGACUCGCGGCUUAUCAGCUUGUUGGUGGGGUAGUGGCUUACCAAGGCUUUGACGGGUAGCCGGCCUGAGAGGGUGACCGGCCACAUUGGGACUGAGAUACGGCCCAGACUCCUACGGGUGGCAGCAGUGGGGAAUAUUGCACAAUGGGCGGAAGCCUGAUGCAGCAACGCCGCGUGCGGGAUGACGGCCUUCGGGUUGUAAACCGCUUUCGCCUGUGACGAAGCGUGAGUGACGGUAAUGGGUAAAGAAGCACCGGCUAACUACGUG
This 468-nucleotide ribosomal RNA is filed under the name uncultured bacterium. RNAcentral describes it as "partial 16S ribosomal RNA". It matches the Rfam family "Bacterial small subunit ribosomal RNA", at positions 28 to 507 of the family's 1533-position model. The record is from RNAcentral.